GAUGAACGCUGGCGGCGUGCCUAACACAUGCAAGUCGAACGAAGCGACUGGAGGAAGUUUUCGGAUGGAAUCCGGUUGACUGAGUGGCGGACGGGUGAGUAACGCGUGGAUAACCUGCCUCACACUGGGGGAUAACAGUUAGAAAUGGCUGCUAAUACCGCAUAAGCGCACAGUACCGCAUGGUACGGUGUGAAAAACCCAGGUGGUGUGAGAUGGAUCCGCGUCUGAUUAGCCAGUUGGCGGGGUAACGCCCACCAAAGCGACGAUCAGUAGCCGACCUGAGAGGGUGACCGG
RNAcentral lists this ribosomal RNA (294 nucleotides) under uncultured bacterium. RNAcentral's name for it is "partial 16S ribosomal RNA". It matches the Rfam family "Bacterial small subunit ribosomal RNA", at positions 28 to 307 of the family's 1533-position model. The record is from RNAcentral.